RNAcentral lists this transfer RNA (76 nucleotides) under bacterium. RNAcentral describes it as "tRNA-Asn". It matches the Rfam family "tRNA". Rfam says of the family: Transfer RNA (tRNA) molecules are approximately 80 nucleotides in length. Their secondary structure includes four short double-helical elements and three loops (D, anti-codon, and T loops). The record is from RNAcentral.
UCCCCUGUAGCUCAGUUGGUAGAGCGCCUCCCUGUUAAGGAGGAUGUCGUAGGUUCGAGACCUACCGGGGGAGCCA